Long non-coding RNA from Gopherus agassizii (Agassiz's desert tortoise), 2294 nucleotides. NCBI's taxonomy places the organism in Eukaryota, Metazoa, Chordata, Testudines, Testudinidae. The record is from Ensembl.
UCAUGGGAUUCAUGAGUAUUUCACACCCUGUCCUCUCGGGAGCAAACUGACCAAGUGCCCAUCUCUGACAAGUAACCUGACUCCCCAAGUUGCCAGCCUUACUACAACCUCUCCAGCAAACAACCUCAUUCCCAGUUUUCCAGUUGCUGAACCACCAUAGCCCUCCUAAGCAGAAAUUCCUGGCUCCUGCCCCCCGUUGCUAAUAGGUUGAAAAGCCCCAACACAACGAGAGGAAAAUGUCAAAAAAGCACAAAAGAAUUGGGAAGAGUUGAAAAGGAAGAGAGUGAUAUUUUGCAGUUUGGAUGACAUCAUGACCAAGGAGGUAAGCCCUUACUCCUGACUACAAAAACCUGGGCUUCUAACUAUUAAAUUAAAAGAAUAAUUUCACUGGCUCAACCAUUGGAGUAGACUGUAGUAGGUGUGAUAUGCCAUCCAAAAUAGUGGUACCAGAUUAAAAGGACACAAACCAUUACACAAUCACUACCAGUCACUCACAGAACCAAAAUAUUUUUACACUCUGUAACUAUGGCAUCAUGAAACUUCAAUAAGUGAAUUCACAAUCAAGUAAAACUUCAGAAGCAGGUAAAACAGAGGAGAAGAGGAAGAACAACUGCAAUGAGAUAAGAAAGAAUAAGAAUUUGGGGAGUUUCAGAGGUGCUUAUGCCCCUGCACAGACUGCUGUGCUUAUGGUAUUGCACGAUUCAGCACACAUAACAUUCACUGAUGUCACUCCUUAUUCAGCUUAAUGCAAUGAGAGUAGGAUCCUGGCUGAGAAUGGAGCCUGGUCAUAUGGCUGCAGAUGGACCGAGUCCCCUGAUUGAAAAGUGGACUGGACCCCCAAUGUUUGCCUCAAGACACUUUCUAGUAGCCCACUGAGGACAUUAGGCCAGACUUCUCAUCAGAGGAGGAUGGAAGGUAAGCCCGUGCUCUUCAGUAGGAAAUGGACUGAGGCUACUACGUGGUCCCUCACAGUCAAGACUGAAAAGAAUUUGGACACCAUUCAGCUGAAGCAUCUCCAAAUGAUGGAAGACAUCAAAAGGUACAGAUUAAAAUCAAAGGAAGAGAUCCAUGUUCUAACUAAACAGGUCCCGCACACUCAGUGGUCCCCCAGUGCUCCCUACAGUGAUAUGGUCAUCUGCUCCAACGGCCUACCAACUACCCUGUGAGAAUCAUCUUUGAUUUUGACCCACUUAACGCAGUCUGGAAAAGAGCAUCUCCCUCUCCUGCCACCCCAGAAGAGCUAAAACACAAUUGGAUGGCAUCAAAAUCUAUAUGUCCCUCACUGGCGUUCUACCUCAUAAAGUGCCAGAUUUGAUUUGUCUCAGGACAGACAUUACAGAGGUACAUAAUAGGUUUGAUGAUUUCUCUGUUGUCCAAUUGAGAGCAUAACAUAAGCUACCGAAGGCCAUCAGAUAGUAAUAACUUCUAGUCAGCACCAAACUGAGCUUGAUUUGAACAGGUGAUUUAGGCCCAGUUCAGGAAAGCAAUUAAGCACAUGCUUAGGUCCCACUGAAGUCACUGAAACUUAAGCCCAGGCUUAAAGUUAAGCAUGUGUAUCACUAUGUGACUGCCUCCUUUAAGAUGGAGUGGGGUCCAGUGCAUCUGUGGCUGAUCAGCUGCCUCCCAAUUGAGCUUAAGAGAAGACACCUGGGCCAUAUAAAGGGGCUGCCUGUGAACAGAGCAGGAGAGAGUCAAGUAAGGCAGUUGAGAUACUUGAGAACAGCCAUGAGAGAAGAGUAGUUUCAGGAGUCCUGAAGGAUAACAGUAACUGUGAGCGGCUUGUGAUGAGUUCUGAGGGAAACUGAUGGGAGUAUAGGCUAGAGCUGGGGAAUGGCUUGAGGGAGCUUGCAGGAAGGCUUGUGUAGAUGCUUUUAAGAAUGAGGGGAAGAACCAGCAUGGUCAGUGUAAGCAUAGCCGAGAAAAUGGGACUGAUUCUGUAGGUUGCAACUCCAGACCAGGGAUAGGACUUACAGGCAAGAAGGCUGGGGGUGUGAUGCUGUAGAGAGUCCUCUUGUGGGAGAUCUGACAUGGGGCUUCAGGAGACAGCUCGUGGGAGAGAAGUGACUCCUGGAACUCUCUGGUAGAUAGGUUGGAGAAUGUGGCCCUGGGACAGAAUAGUUAAUAACUCUUGGGUGGGUGGCCUGAGAAUGGUAACCUUUUAAUGAGAUUGAAGAGCUACUGCAUUGUAACUUUGUUUUACUUUAGUGAUUUGGAAAGAACUGUUUUUACCAUGAGGGAUUUGUGGACUGUGACCAUCUAUGCAAAUAAAAGGGUUUGAAUUUACUGCUGAGACA